This 82-nucleotide microRNA precursor is filed under the name Bombyx mori (domestic silkworm). RNAcentral's name for it is "mir-2807 microRNA precursor family". It matches the Rfam family "mir-2807 microRNA precursor family". Lineage: Eukaryota; Metazoa; Arthropoda; Insecta; Lepidoptera; Bombycidae. The record is from Rfam by way of RNAcentral.
UUAAAUCAAAUUUGUAUGAAGUCGGAACGUUUGUCUACGUUUGCCGCUAGGCACUGUUCGACCUGCUUACAAAUUUGAGUUA